Long non-coding RNA from Neopsephotus bourkii (Bourke's parrot), 1268 nucleotides. RefSeq lists it as uncharacterized. Lineage: Eukaryota; Metazoa; Chordata; Aves; Psittaciformes; Psittacidae. The transcript has 2 exons. The record is from RefSeq and is a predicted model, not a curated record.
UGGGAUUCUCUCUGUGUGCUCCAUCACUACGGGAGCUGGUGGGCAGGGACGUACCCUUCACCGUACCACAAGGAAGGUCUCACUGUGGGAUGUGUGCGUGUUCUCUCACUGCUUCCUCAGACACAUCAAGCUGUGUUGAAAUCCCGUUCCUCCCCAUACACAAAUGCCUCUGGCACAAGGGAAAGCAGAACUCGGCCUUAAAACUUAGCACGUUUUCCUUCCCUGUCAACAUUCACCACCGCGUACAGCCUGGCUGCCGGUUCUCCUUCACGCCGUGACCCCUCCCAAACCACCCGAUCUCUCAUUUGCCCUUUCUGUGAAGCAAGGACGAUGCCUUCUAUUGGAACACACUGCAAUUAAAAGAUGGAAUACUCUGCAAUUGCUAAAGCUGUAUUAUUGCCACCGAUCGAGAUCUUUCCCAGCUCAGCGGUUGCCUAAUCCCGUUAGUCACACUCAGAGGCUUCCCCCUCCUUUAGCAGCUCAAAUCCCUGCAGUGUUUUGUGACUGCAGCAAUCCAUGGUCCUGUAUCAGAAUGCACAGAGCGUGAUGUGCCCCCAGCGCUCCUUUUGGGGCUAGUUUUGCCUUUUAAAGGUUUCCACUGUCACCCGUGGGGACAGAUUGGCGUCACACCGAGCUAGAUCCUGGGCAGAGCACGAAUUGGUUGUAAUUGGUGUGGUUUAGGUCAAAUUAGCUGCAAAAAUCACUGUGUUAUGGGCGUCCCAGCACCCGCUCGCAGGGACGGGGGUUGGAGGGGGUCAUUGUGGGUACCCCCACAGGCUGGGACUCGGGUAAACUGAGGCAGGGGCUCAAUGGAGUCCCCCCGCUGCGGGGAAGGGGCGGGCGGAUGGGAUCGGCGCCGUCGCACCGCGUUUGUGCCGCUUGAAGGCGGUGCCGCCGCUCCGGGCUCGGUCGGGCACCGGGAAGAGGAACUGGGCUUUGCACUGCCGGGUCGGGGCGAACGCACCGCCGAGCACCGGGGUCCCGCUGCCGCUUUGCUGCGCUGCAAAGGGAGGGAUGGGGCGGGGAGGAGGCGAGCGCCGGUCUUUGCAUCCCCCCUUUGCAGCCCCUCUGCUCCCUGUUGCAUCCCCCUUGUACCCUCCCGCUCCUCCCUUCUGCUGCAAGGGGCCGGGCAGAUCCAUACCUGGCUGCUGUGCAGCACUGAAGGCAGAAGCAGCCCUUUCCCUCCUUCCCAUCCACUGGCCCUGCAAGGCAGUGGGAAACAGCUGGAAGGCACUGGGUGGUGGGGAAGGGAAGGCAGGACCCUCAUG